RNAcentral lists this ribosomal RNA (253 nucleotides) under uncultured bacterium. RNAcentral's name for it is "partial 16S ribosomal RNA". It matches the Rfam family "Bacterial small subunit ribosomal RNA", at positions 524 to 776 of the family's 1533-position model. The record is from RNAcentral.
UACGUAGGCAGCAAGCGUUGUUCGGAAUUACUGGGCGUAAAGAGUGUGUAGGCGGUGUUCUAAGUCUGGUGUGAAAUCUCCCGGCUCAACUGGGAGGGUGCGCUAGAAACUGGAAUGCUAGAGGAUGGGAGAGGUAAGCGGAAUUCCUGGUGUAGCGGUGAAAUGCGUAGAUAUCAGGAGGAACACCUGUGGUGUAGACAGCUUACUGGACCAUUUCUGACGCUGAGACGCGAAAGCGUGGGUAGCAAACAGG